CCUACGGGAGGCAGCAGUAGGGAAUUUUCGGCAAUGGGGGGAACCCUGACCGAGCAACGCCGCGUGAACGAAGAAGUUAUUCGUAAUGUAAAGUUCUUUUAACAGGGAAGAAAGAGAAAUUUGACGGUACCUGAAGAAUAAGCUCCGGCUAACUACGUGCCAGCAGCCGCGGUAAUACGUAGGGAGCGAGCGUUAUCCGGAAUUAUUGGGCGUAAAGGGUGCGUAGAUGGCAUAGUAAGUCUUUGGUAAAAAUGCUGGGCUCAACCCAGUAGGGCAAAAGAUACUGCAAAGCUAGAGUAUGACAGAGGCAAGUGGAACUACAUGUGUAGCGGUAAAAUGCGUAGAUAUAUGUAAGAACACCAGUGGCGAAGGCGGCUUGCUGGGUCGAUACUGACAUUGAGGCACGAAAGCGUGGGGAGCAAACAGGAUUAGAUACCCGGGUAGUC
Molecule: ribosomal RNA, 446 nt
Filed under: uncultured bacterium
Lineage: Bacteria
Description: partial 16S ribosomal RNA
Rfam family: Bacterial small subunit ribosomal RNA
Source: RNAcentral